CGGACCGGCGCACGGGUGAGUAACGCGUAUGCAACUUACCUAUCAGAGGGGGAUAACCCGGCGAAAGUCGGACUAAUACCGCAUAAAGCAGGGAUCCCGCAUGGGAAUAUUUGCUAAAGAUUCAUCGCUGAUAGAUAGGCAUGCGUUCCAUUAGGCAGUUGGCGGGGUAACGGCCCACCAAACCGACGAUGGAUAGGGGUUCUGAGAGGAAGGUCCCCCACAUUGGUACUGAGACACGGACCAA
This 244-nucleotide ribosomal RNA is filed under the name uncultured bacterium. RNAcentral describes it as "partial 16S ribosomal RNA". It matches the Rfam family "Bacterial small subunit ribosomal RNA", at positions 91 to 334 of the family's 1533-position model. The record is from RNAcentral.